GAGCUUGCUCNUAUGAAGUNUAGCGGCGGACGGGUGAGUAACACGUGGGUAACCUGCCCAUAAGACUGGGAUAACUCCGGGAAACCGGGGCUAAUACCGGAUAACAUUUUGAACCGCAUGGUUCGAAAUUGAAAGGCGGCUUCGGCUGUCACUUAUGGAUGGACCCGCGUCGCAUUAGCUAGUUGGUGAGGUAACGGCUCACCAAGGCAACGAUGCGUAGCCGACCUGAGAGGGUGAUCGGCCACACUGGGACUGAGACACGGCCCANACUCCUACGGGAGGCAGCAGUGGG
RNAcentral lists this ribosomal RNA (292 nucleotides) under Bacillus cereus. RNAcentral describes it as "partial 16S ribosomal RNA". It matches the Rfam family "Bacterial small subunit ribosomal RNA", at positions 76 to 358 of the family's 1533-position model. The record is from RNAcentral. Lineage: Bacteria; Bacillati; Bacillota; Bacilli; Caryophanales; Bacillaceae.